UUGUUGACAGUGACUGUGGACUGUUCUCAGGAGGAGGGACAAUGCCUGGACCCUGCUCAGAGGGCUUUGUGCAGAGAUUGCAUAUUGCAGAGUUGCCCCAGUGUGCUUUCUGUGGGUCACACUCAGAAGCCAGACCUGCUCACUUUUGAAGCAGAACAGAGAAGCCUAGAAGGUGGAGAGAAUGGACACAGUAGCAAAUGUACCAGGAUUCAUUUUGUUGAAACCUUGAAUGUGGUCACUGACUAGGCAGAGAGGGGAUCUUGGUGAACAUUGGGUGAGCAUUUCUUUCAUGACUAACAGUGUGGAGCAUUUUUAAUGUGUACUAAUUGGCCAUUGUAACUACUUUUUAGCAUGAUCUGUUAAAGUUAUUUACUUGUUAAUUGAAAUGAUUUUUAUUUGUUUGUGUUUUUUUUUCUUUAU
Peromyscus eremicus (cactus mouse) is the source of this 420-nucleotide long non-coding RNA. RefSeq lists it as uncharacterized. The record is from RefSeq and is a predicted model, not a curated record. NCBI's taxonomy places the organism in Eukaryota, Metazoa, Chordata, Mammalia, Rodentia, Cricetidae. The transcript is spliced from 3 exons.